GAUGAACGCUGGCGGCGUGCCUAAUACAUGCAAGUCGAGCGAACGGACGAGAAGCUUGUUUCUCUGAUGUUAGCGGCGGACGGGUGUGUAACAUGUGUAUAAUCUACCUAUAAGACUGGGAUAACUUCGGGAAACCGGAGCUUAUACCGGAUAAUAUUUUGAACCGUAUGGUUCAAUAGUGAAAGACGGUCUUGCUGUCACUUAUAGAUGGAUCCGCGCUGCAUUAGCUAGUUGGUAAGGUAACGGCUUACCAAGGCAACGAUGCAUAGCCGACCUGAGAGGGUGAUCGGCCACACGGGAACUGAGACACGGUCCAGACUCCUACGGGAGGCAGCAGUAGGGAAUCUUCCGCAAUGGGCGAAAGCCUGACGGAGCAACGCCGCGUGAGUGAUAAAGGUCUUCGGAUCGUAAAACUCGGUUAUUAGGGAAGAACAUAUGUGUAAGUAACUGUGCACAUCUUGACGGUACCUAAUCAGAAAGCCACGGCUAACUACGUG
This 497-nucleotide ribosomal RNA is filed under the name uncultured bacterium. Its description in RNAcentral is "partial 16S ribosomal RNA". It matches the Rfam family "Bacterial small subunit ribosomal RNA", at positions 28 to 507 of the family's 1533-position model. The record is from RNAcentral.